RNAcentral lists this long non-coding RNA (226 nucleotides) under Elaeis guineensis (African oil palm). Its description in RNAcentral is "long non-coding RNA (EGUI_LNC030507)". The record is from RNAcentral. Lineage: Eukaryota; Viridiplantae; Streptophyta; Magnoliopsida; Arecales; Arecaceae.
AAUCGAGUGGUCAGAUUCUCUAAAACCAUCAUAUCAACCGUUCUUUUCAAUGCAAUAAUUAAAAAUUCUCAAGCAUAACUCUACCCCAUAAGUUUAGCCAAAUGACCUUAACUACAAGUCACUCUUAACAUCCACAAAAUACAAAACUAUUUAACUUUUUUUUUGUUUAUAUCUCCACGAGAUAAUUUGUUAGCAUGAACUGACCUUCAAAAAUGGACCACUAGCA